AUUUCUCCCAUCACCUGUCUCUCUGCCCAGAAGCCCAAAGGGAGCCUUUCCUCCCCCCCCCCCGCCCCAGAGUAAGGUGAGGGGUUCACAGGGGAUGUGAGAAAUCAAGGAAGACCUCAUAGGGGAGGUGGUAUUUGGAGUUGACCUGGGUGAGAAGGAAAUGAAUUCCAGGCAUGCAAAGACAGAGAUGGGAGAUAGAACAUUGUGAACAAGAAAUAGGCUGAUUUGCAUAAGGGUUGCAGUUUGGGCACUUGGUCUCUAAAAGGUUCACCAUCACCCUUGCUGAAGGGUCCUUGACAUUUUCUAGCUUGUUGUUGCCCUCCUAACCUCACAAAUUAGUAUUUAUUGGGAACCAUCAAACCCUCCAUAUUGGCUAUUUCUUUUUCAACCUCUAUUGUUGUUUGACCGUCAGUUUUUGAGAAGGACUAAUGACAUCUUGACUUGCAUUUGAAUUGAAGUGAAGUGAGGCAGUGUUGCCCAAAGUCGUCAGCCUUGCUCUCUUGAAGUUGGGGGGCAGGACAAAAGUCAGCCUCUGUCAACUGGAGUUGGGAAAACUAGAAAAUAAGUUUUUCUGAGUGCUAAUUGAGUGCUAACCAAUAUGUUCCACUCUAAGCUUUCCAAACCUCCUCAUUUCUUUCCCAGAGACAAAUUCAGCAGUUGAGGGCCCCCACCUGGGAGCUCCCAGUCAUGAGAUCCCUCGGAACCACAAGCCCUGAGUCAGCCAGGCUCUGAUGAACAAACACUCUCUCUUGACAGACCUCCAGUUCUGGGAUCUCACGCCCACUGGCCAUGAGACCGUGGGCAACUUUUACAAGAAAAUCUUCAUUUUCAGGGAUUCUGCUGUCAUGGAAAUAGCAGUUUUGGAGAAAAAGAUACUGGCGUGGCUUGGCUUUUCCUUCCCUGGUUCAUUUUAUAAAUAAAGAAACUGAGGCAAACAGGCUGGAGUGACUUGCCCAGGGUCGCAUGUCUGGUGUCUGAGGCUGGAUUUGAACUCGGGAAGUCUUCUUGACUCCAGUGGAGCACCCAGUAGGAUACCAGCUGCUCCACGAAGUUGCACACAAAUAGCCACUCAUUUUUUCUCUAUUGCUCAGAGCCUUGAAUGUUCAAGGUUGCCCAUGCUAAUGUGAACAUGAGGUUAUUAAUAAAAUUAUGGGAUGUAAAACCCA
Molecule: long non-coding RNA, 1166 nt
Filed under: Monodelphis domestica (gray short-tailed opossum)
Lineage: Eukaryota; Metazoa; Chordata; Mammalia; Didelphimorphia; Didelphidae
Description: lncRNA (ENSMODG00000039767.1)
Source: RNAcentral